This is a long non-coding RNA of Lagenorhynchus albirostris (white-beaked dolphin), 543 nucleotides long. RefSeq lists it as uncharacterized. Lineage: Eukaryota; Metazoa; Chordata; Mammalia; Artiodactyla; Delphinidae. The transcript has 5 exons. The record is from RefSeq and is a predicted model, not a curated record.
CAAUCUAUUGGCCUUUUGUGUGGCGAGCAGUACCAGCUUGGACUUGGUGACGAAUUGUGGUGCAGCCGGCCGGGGGCCUUGCUGCUCGUGGCUCCCGGUCCGCUUUGGGGAAUUUCCGGGUAAGGCCCUGGCAGCUGCCGGGACCACUUGUCCGGAGGGUCUUCCCUUCAGAAUUCCGCAAAACGGCCGUGGCUGCCCCCCGUGCUUGGCAGCUGGAGCAAGGAAUCGACGUUUGGGAGCUGAUGGGCUACAGUAGGGACUUCUGAAUGUGCUUCUGGACAUCCAUACAGUACUUGAGACCAGAAUUUCAUAACCAUAGAGCUCUGGUACAGUAGUCUCAUCUGUUUCGCCAUUAAUGAGGCUGGAAGGAGGUGACCAGAAGGAUGUAACCAGUUGUAAAGAACAAAGAGAAGUGGACUGCCAUUAAGAACCUAGCAACUUUGGUUAGUGGCAUCAGAGGCUUCAGGUUUUAACAGCAGCAUGAUUAUUCCUGGCUAAAAAAUUUCCUCAGAGCCUAGAGAGCAGCAGGACAAAGAAGACCUC